RNAcentral lists this long non-coding RNA (1167 nucleotides) under Equus asinus (donkey). Its description in RNAcentral is "lncRNA (ENSEASG00005024875.1)". The record is from RNAcentral. Lineage: Eukaryota; Metazoa; Chordata; Mammalia; Perissodactyla; Equidae.
CAGAUGCUGUCAGUGUGCAAUAAAUGUCUGAAAGGGAGAAACAGGAGCAAGAGUUUGGAAGCAGAACAGUUGGGGGAAUGAGGGAGACUAACGGACAGGGCAUGUUCCUCUGGUGCCACGUGAGACAGGCAGCGAUGUUGCCAAGUGUCCCGGAAGCUGGACGGGAAUCAGGCACCGAGCGCCUUGUAUCCUGAUUAGCUGGCAAGUCUUUUCUUUCUCCCAUGGCACAGAAGACCCCAGAAGGGUUUUAAGUCAGGAGGUGACGUGACUGGAGGUGCAACACCAGCUGGCCACGGGAUGGAGGAAGGGUCCCUGGCCUUACACAGCGCUCACCCCAGGCCCUGCUGGCCCAGCACACAGCAGGUGAGGCUUGGGAAAACUCUUCCAGCCUUCUCUGAUCGGCCCACUUCCGCCCCUCUGGAGCCUGGGAGCCCUGCCCUCUGGAAUAACCCAGCUCCACGUCUCCUAGAGCCGGACCUUGCUGCAGUCAGCCACUGCGGUGGCAACAACCCACUGAGGCACCGAAUUAAACAAAAAAGGGUUGAGGUUAUGAAAGGAGAGGUUCCAGCUAGAGUUCAAGAAAGUCUUCCAGACCUGCCUGCAGAGAAUUAAACCCAGACACUGUGAAGUGCCCGUCCCAUCCUUCAAGAACCAGCUCAGAUGCCUCCUCUCUGGGAAGCCUUUCCUGCGCCCCCAAGGCUGUUGCUCACUGGAGAGCCCUGAGAGCAGGCAUUAUACUGCAUCCCAUUUGUAUAUUUUGUAUCCCUUUCUAUCUCAUAAAUGGGGCAGGAAUUCAAUCAAGACCUGAGUCAAUUUAUUUUAUUUAUACUGAGAACUUCUGUGGCAGUCUCUGUGCUAGGGGAAUACGGAGGACACAGGACACAAUGCACAGUCCAGUUCAGGGAGAACCAAUGAAUGGAGUUGGUACAAAAGCUAGCGUUGGGGUUUGAGAGUGAUACUUACACCCCCUCCCCAAGUUCAGGCCAGCUGAGAGGUAUGCACACAGGCCCAUCAGGCAGGAGGAUGGAGAGCCAAGUCAGCUUUAUUGGUAGCUGCUGAUAUUUGGACCUAAGCUCAAAAAAUUUGCCCUUUCAUGUCUAGAUCUUGAGAAGACCCACCCAAGGGACAGUCUGGAUCCGCAGGACAGACAUACCUACCCAGUCUUUG